Salmo salar (Atlantic salmon) is the source of this 137-nucleotide non-coding RNA. The record is from RefSeq and is a predicted model, not a curated record. NCBI's taxonomy places the organism in Eukaryota, Metazoa, Chordata, Actinopteri, Salmoniformes, Salmonidae.
CGUCUGUACCAGGCCUUACCGUCUGUACCUCCAGAGAUGGAACCAGUCAUUCAGGCCAUUAUAGACAACCUGAUGCAGACCGCUCCAGCAGAUUGCUUGCCGAUGAAUAUGAAGUGUCCAAUAACACCAGCGAACGU